GUUAGUGUUAGGGUUAGUGUUAGUGUUAGGGUUAUUGUUAGAGUUAGGGUUAGGUUUAGUGUCAGAUUUAGGCUUAGGUAUAGGGUUAGUGUUAGGGUUUAUGUUAUGUUUAGUAUUAGGAUUUGUUUUAGGCUUAUGUUGAGGGUUAUGGUGAGGGUUACGGUUAGAGUGACGGGUUGGGUUAGUGUUAGGAAUAGUGUCUGGGUAAGGGUUAGUGUUAGUUUUUGGCAUAGUGUUAGGGUUAGUGUUAGGGUUAGGGUAAGGGUGAGUUCUAAUUUUAGUGUUAGUGUUAGGAUUAUGGUUAGGAUUACAGUUAGGAUUAGGUUUAGGGUUAGGGUUACUGUUAGGGUAUUGUUAGGGUGAAGGUUAGGGUUAGUGUUAGGGUUAUGUAUAAUGUUAGGGUUAGGUUUAGUGUUAGGGUUUGGGUUAGAGUUAGGUUUAGUUUAGAGUUAGGGUUAGCAUUAGGUUUCAUGUGAGGGUUAAGGUUAGGAUUAAUGUUAGGUUACAUUAAAAUUAGGGUUAGGAUUAGGGUUAGUGUUAGGGAUAGGAUUAGGUUUAGGUUUAGGUUUAGUGUUAGGGUUAGGGUUACAGAUACUGUUUGGUUUAGUGUUAGGGUAAGAUAUAUG
Molecule: long non-coding RNA, 626 nt
Filed under: Marmota monax (woodchuck)
Lineage: Eukaryota; Metazoa; Chordata; Mammalia; Rodentia; Sciuridae
Source: RNAcentral